Pseudomassariella vexata is the source of this 91-nucleotide transfer RNA. It matches the Rfam family "tRNA". Rfam says of the family: Transfer RNA (tRNA) molecules are approximately 80 nucleotides in length. Their secondary structure includes four short double-helical elements and three loops (D, anti-codon, and T loops). The record is from Rfam. NCBI's taxonomy places the organism in Eukaryota, Fungi, Ascomycota, Sordariomycetes, Amphisphaeriales, Pseudomassariaceae.
GUCGCCGUGGCCUAGUGGUUAGGGCAUCUGCUUUACAAAGCUAUAAGCUCAGCAACGCAGAGGAUCGCAGGUUCGACCCCUGCCGGCGACA